ACGGCUCAGUAACACGUCGUUAACCUGCCCUGAGUCGGGGACAGCCACGGGAAACUGUGGGUAAACCCCGAUAUGGUAUAUCAUCUGGAAUGCGAUAUACCGUAAACUCGUGCUCAAGGAUGGGACGGCGGCCGAUUAGCUUGUUGGUGGGGUAAUGGCCCACCAAGGCGAUGAUCGGUACGGGCCAUGAAAGUGGUAGCCCGGAGAGGGACACUGAGAUACUGGUCCCAGCCCUACGGGGUGCAGCAGGCGCGAAACCUUUACAAUGCACGAAAGUGUGAUAAGGGAAUCCUACGUGCUCAUGCAUUGCAUGGGCUUUUGCCAAUCGUAAAGAGUUUGGCGAAUAAGUGGUGGGUAAGACUGGUGCCAGCCGCCGCGGUAACACCAGCGCCACAAGUGGCAGUCAGUAUUAUUGGGCCUAAAGCGUCCGUAGCUGGACGUGCACAUCCCUUGUGAAAUCACGCAGCUUAACUGCGUGGCGAGCAGGGGACACGACACGUCUUGGGAGUGGGAGGAGUCAGAGGUAUUCGAGGGGGACCGGUAAAAUGGUAUAAUCCCUCGAGGACCACCGGUGGCGAAGGCAUCUGACCAGAACACGUCCGACAGUGAGGGACGAAAGCCAGGGGAGCGAACCGGAUUAGAUACCCGAGUAGUCCUGGCCGUAAACGCUGCGAGCUAGGCGUUGCACUACUUAUGUGGUGGUGCAGUGUCGAAGCGAAGGCGAUAAGCUCGCCGCCUGGGGAGUACGGUCGCAAGGCUGAAACUUAAAGGAAUUGGCGGGGGAG
RNAcentral lists this ribosomal RNA (785 nucleotides) under uncultured archaeon. RNAcentral describes it as "bacterial SSU rRNA". It matches the Rfam family "Archaeal small subunit ribosomal RNA", at positions 85 to 876 of the family's 1478-position model. The record is from RNAcentral.